UACGAAGGGGGCUAGCGUUGUUCGGAAUUACUGGGCGUAAAGCGCACGUAGGCGGAUAUUUAAGUCAGGGGUGAAAUCCCAGAGCUCAACUCUGGAACUGCCUUUGAUACUGGGUAUCUUGAGUAUGGAAGAGGUAAGUGGAAUUGCGAGUGUAGAGGUGAAAUUCGUAGAUAUUCGCAGGAACACCAGUGGCGAAGGCGGCUUACUGGUCCAGUAACUGACGCUGAGGUGCGGAAAGCGUGGGGAGCAAAGCAGGGAUUAA
This 262-nucleotide ribosomal RNA is filed under the name uncultured bacterium. RNAcentral describes it as "partial 16S ribosomal RNA". It matches the Rfam family "Bacterial small subunit ribosomal RNA", at positions 524 to 781 of the family's 1533-position model. The record is from RNAcentral.